CACAUGGAUGCGUCCAUAGCAGGAGGCAUCAAUGAUAUCUCCCUUGACUCGGCCCCAGCACCGGCGAUGGCCUUCCAUCCGGUAAUGGUGAUUUGCAGCAGCGCCAGCGAAGGUGCGAGGGGCGUGCGUCAGUGCCUGCGCAGGGGAAGUACGCGAGGGGGCGAUGGCAGUGCGUGCGCAAGGGGAACGCGCGAUCCGCGGGGAUCGGACGCAUGCGAUGCGUCCGACCCAAACGGUUCGGGUGACGCGUCGGGUAGAAACGUUUCCCUUAUAUAAAAGAUGCUGGAGUACCGCCUCCUAGGAGCCUUAGCAUUCGAGGAGAGCCUUUGCUUUGUCAGUUACGCAGUGCGGGUGCCACGAGCGCCUUAAAAGGGCUUUUCCCGUCAACUGAUUUGCAAGGAUGAUGAUGCCUUGGAAGUUCAUGAUGGAUGGACCGCGGGUAUGCACGAGCCUAUGUCAUGUGCUGUUUUUCGGCACGUUUGUGUGUAAGGCCUAAUGCGAAAACUCCUACAUGCCGCUCGCUGCAGCAGGGAGUCCCUCCCACACACACGGCGACCCCCGACUGGGCCGGCCGAGUAGGCACACGACAAUUGUAGCUUCUUUUUUUCUGCUUAUUUCUUUUUUAUUUUUGGGACGUUUUUCUUUCAAUUUUUCUUUUUUUCUCUUUUAUCAAAAAGAAUAAACGUUGAAUUUUUUGAAAGCCCAAUACAUUUUUUGAAAAUCCC
RNAcentral lists this long non-coding RNA (725 nucleotides) under Hordeum vulgare. RNAcentral's name for it is "long non-coding RNA (HVUL_LNC018891)". Lineage: Eukaryota; Viridiplantae; Streptophyta; Magnoliopsida; Poales; Poaceae. The record is from RNAcentral.